CAGUGAUAAACUGGAGGAAGGUGGGGAUGACGUCAAGUCAUCAUGGCCCUUACGACCAGGGCUACACACGUGCUACAAUGGCGCAUACAAAGAGAAGCGACCUCGCGAGAGCAAGCGGACCUCAUAAAGUGCGUCGUAGUCCGGAUUGGAGUCUGCAACUCGACUCCAUGAAGUCGGAAUCGCUAGUAAUCGUGGAUCAGAAUGCCACGGUGAAUACGUUCCCGGGCCUUGUACACACCGCCCGUCACACCAUGGGAGUGGGUUGCAAAAGAAGUAGGUAGCUUAACCUUCGGGAGGGCGCUUACCACUUUGUGAUUCAUGACUGGGGUGAAGUCGUAACAAGGUAACCGUAGGGGAACCUGCGGUUGGAUCACCUCCUUACCUUAAA
This 388-nucleotide ribosomal RNA is filed under the name Salmonella enterica subsp. enterica serovar Typhimurium. RNAcentral describes it as "partial 16S ribosomal RNA". It matches the Rfam family "Bacterial small subunit ribosomal RNA", at positions 1153 to 1533 of the family's 1533-position model. Lineage: Bacteria; Pseudomonadati; Pseudomonadota; Gammaproteobacteria; Enterobacterales; Enterobacteriaceae. The record is from RNAcentral. RNAcentral also lists the same sequence under 1 other name.